GACGAACGCUGGCGGCGUGCUUAACACAUGCAAGUCGAACGGAAAGGCCCUGCUUUUGUGGGGUGCUCGAGUGGCGAACGGGUGAGUAACACGUGAGUAACCUGCCCUUGACUUUGGGAUAACUUCAGGAAACUGGGGCUAAUACCGGAUAGGAGCUCCUGCUGCAUGGUGGGGGUUGGAAAGUUUCGGCGGUUGGGGAUGGACUCGCGGCUUAUCAGCUUGUUGGUGGGGUAGUGGCUUACCAAGGCUUUGACGGGUAGCCGGCCUGAGAGGGUGACCGGCCACAUUGGGACUGAGAUACGGCCCAGACUCCUACGGGAGGCAGCAGUGGGGAAUAUUGCACAAUGGGCGGAAGCCUGAUGCAGCAACGCCGCGUGCGGGAUGACAGCCUUCGGGUUGUAAACCGCUUUCGCCUGUGACGAAGCGUGAGUGACGGUAAUGGGUAAAGAGGCACCGGCUAACUACGUG
RNAcentral lists this ribosomal RNA (468 nucleotides) under uncultured bacterium. RNAcentral describes it as "partial 16S ribosomal RNA". It matches the Rfam family "Bacterial small subunit ribosomal RNA", at positions 28 to 507 of the family's 1533-position model. The record is from RNAcentral.